UUUUGCUUGCUCCUCUCGCAAAGUGCGCGGGCGGAAAAAGACGAAUUAAUUGUAGAAGCGUAGUCCUCCGUAAGCUUCUUUAGCCAUUUUGCAAACAUUUGGCUACCUACCUACGCUCGU
Caenorhabditis elegans is the source of this 120-nucleotide non-coding RNA. Lineage: Eukaryota; Metazoa; Nematoda; Chromadorea; Rhabditida; Rhabditidae. The record is from Ensembl.